This 271-nucleotide ribosomal RNA is filed under the name uncultured prokaryote. Its description in RNAcentral is "partial 16S ribosomal RNA". It matches the Rfam family "Bacterial small subunit ribosomal RNA", at positions 524 to 794 of the family's 1533-position model. The record is from RNAcentral.
UACGUAGGUGGCGAGCGUUAUCCGGAAUUAUUGGGCGUAAAGAGCGCGCAGGUGGUUGAUUAAGUCUGAUGUGAAAGCCCACGGCUUAACCGUGGAGGGUCAUUGGAAACUGGUCGACUUGAGUGCAGAAGAGGGAAGUGGAAUUCCAUGUGUAGCGGUGAAAUGCGUAGAGAUAUGGAGGAACACCAGUGGCGAAGGCGGCUUCCUGGUCUGUAACUGACACUGAGGCGCGAAAGCGUGGGGAGCAAACAGGAUUAGAUACCCCCGUAGU